This 27-nucleotide non-coding RNA is filed under the name Mus musculus (house mouse). Lineage: Eukaryota; Metazoa; Chordata; Mammalia; Rodentia; Muridae. The record is from RNAcentral.
UUUCAGGACACCUAUAUCCAUGCAGGG